CUGUCCAGCCUUCAAUUUUUGCUCCUCUUUCCAGCUGUGAUAGAGGGCUUGGGGCGGACGCAGAUCAAACCAACUCUUAAUUUAGGAGGGCUUCUUGGAGCAUUGAGUAGCUCUCAAAGGCACAAGAGGACAUC
This is a non-coding RNA of Rhineura floridana, 134 nucleotides long. RefSeq annotates it as small Cajal body-specific RNA 11. NCBI's taxonomy places the organism in Eukaryota, Metazoa, Chordata, Lepidosauria, Squamata, Rhineuridae. The record is from RefSeq and is a predicted model, not a curated record. The transcript has a single exon.